CCUUAGCUAGGUUGGACCAAAACUAGGAGAUGUCCAUGAAGGGGGUGUUUCCUUGGAUGAUGAGUAUGGAAAUGGAGUGAGAAAAGGUCCAAGGUUAUGUAUCUAGGGCAGGACAAGGUGAUACCCUCAUGGUUUUGGUGGAUAUGGUGAUGGUGAGGUGGUGUUUGAUGGCUCCAUGAGAGGUGAGGCCAACUCAAGAAGGAAGGUGACUAAAGGGGCCUAUAGGGUUUCUUUAGUCUUGAUCUAGGAAGUGUA
Molecule: long non-coding RNA, 255 nt
Filed under: Vigna radiata
Lineage: Eukaryota; Viridiplantae; Streptophyta; Magnoliopsida; Fabales; Fabaceae
Description: long non-coding RNA (VRAD_LNC000629)
Source: RNAcentral